RNAcentral lists this ribosomal RNA (449 nucleotides) under uncultured bacterium. Its description in RNAcentral is "partial 16S ribosomal RNA". It matches the Rfam family "Bacterial small subunit ribosomal RNA", at positions 29 to 523 of the family's 1533-position model. The record is from RNAcentral.
AACGAACGCUGGCGGCAUGCCUAACACAUGCAAGUCGAACGAGAUCUUCGGGUCUAGUGGCGCACGGGUGCGUAACGCGUGGGAAUCUGCCCUUUGGUUCGGAAUAACAGUUGGAAACGACUGCUAAUACCGGAUGAUGACGAAAGUCUAAAGAUUUAUCGCCAGAGGAUGAGCCCGCGUAGGAUUAGCUAGUUGGUGUGGUAAAGGCGCACCAAGGCGACGAUCCUUAGCUGGUCUGAGAGGAUGAUCAGCCACACUGGGACUGAGACACGGCCCAGACUCCUACGGGAGGCAGCAGUGGGGAAUAUUGGACAAUGGGCGAAAGCCUGAUCCAGCAAUGCCGCGUGAGUGAUGAAGGCCUUAGGGUUGUAAAGCUCUUUUACCCGGGAUGAUAAUGACAGUACCGGGAGAAUAAGCUCCGGCUAACUCUGUGCCAGCAGCCGCCGCCG